RNAcentral lists this ribosomal RNA (439 nucleotides) under uncultured bacterium. RNAcentral's name for it is "partial 16S ribosomal RNA". It matches the Rfam family "Bacterial small subunit ribosomal RNA", at positions 339 to 795 of the family's 1533-position model. The record is from RNAcentral.
CUACGGGAGGCUGCAGUGAGGAAUAUUGCACAAUGGGGGGAACCCUGAUGCAGCAACGCCGCGUGGAGGAUGACGCAUUUCGGUGUGUAAACUCCUUUUAUAUGUCAAGAAAAUGACGGUAGCAUAUGAAUAAGCACCGGCUAACUCCGUGCCAGCAGCCGCGGUAAUACGGAGGGUGCAAGCGUUACUCGGAAUCACUGGGCGUAAAGGACGCGUAGGCGGCUUGGAAAGUCAGGUGUGAAAUCCUACAGCUUAACUGUAGAACUGCACUUGAAACUUCUAAUCUAGAGUAUGGGAAGGGGAGAUGGAAUUAGUGGUGUAGGGGUAAAAUCCGUAGAUAUCACUAGGAAUACCUAAAGCGAAGGCGAUCUCCUGGAACAUUACUGACGCUAAGGCGUGAAAGCGUGGGGAGCAAACAGGAUUAGAUACCCCGGUAGUC